GCGGACGUGGCGGAACUGGUAGACGCGCAGGUCUCAGAAGCCUGUUCUGGUUACAGAGUGGAAGUUCGAUUCUUCUCGUCCGCACCA
This 87-nucleotide transfer RNA is filed under the name Acidobacteria bacterium OLB17. RNAcentral's name for it is "tRNA-Ser". It matches the Rfam family "tRNA". Rfam says of the family: Transfer RNA (tRNA) molecules are approximately 80 nucleotides in length. Their secondary structure includes four short double-helical elements and three loops (D, anti-codon, and T loops). Further hydrogen bonds mediate the characteristic L-shaped molecular structure. tRNAs have two regions of fundamental functional importance: the anti-codon, which is responsible for specific mRNA codon recognition, and the 3' end, to which the tRNAs corresponding amino acid is attached (by aminoacyl-tRNA synthetases). tRNAs cope with the degeneracy of the genetic code in two manners: having more than one tRNA (with a specific anti-codon) for a particular amino acid; and 'wobble' base-pairing, i.e. permitting non-standard base-pairing at the 3rd anti-codon position. Lineage: Bacteria; Pseudomonadati; Acidobacteriota. RNAcentral also lists the same sequence under 5 other names. The record is from RNAcentral.